Molecule: long non-coding RNA, 457 nt
Organism: Oreochromis niloticus (Nile tilapia)
Lineage: Eukaryota; Metazoa; Chordata; Actinopteri; Cichliformes; Cichlidae
Exons: 2
Source: RefSeq, a predicted model, not a curated record
AUCAGCUCACUAGCUGCUGCAUUCCGGAAACAGUCCGAAAUGUAGCUAAAUCCAGCUAAACUCAAUUAAACCCCAAUUUGCGGAUAAUAUCUUUAAUUAUUUUAUUUUAAAAUAUAUUAUUUGUUAAGACUAUCGUUGUUGUAGUAUAAUGUAGUUGCAUUAUACAACCAUGCCAACUGACUCUCCAAAUUAUAUUUGAGUAGCUCUCUUUUAUGUCGUCGAAUACUGAACAGCAGCACGAAAACAACAUGUCCCGGCCACAUGACAUACUGAGACAGCAAAUGAUGCAUAGACUCCUCUCUAAACUGGAAGCUGCUUUAAACCAACAACCACUAAAUCUGGAUUAUUUGGAGUUCUUGACUCGUCAUGAGCUUGUUCUGUUUGAAUCUUUCUCUCAGCAAAUAGGUGGUCUGUCAGAGAUUACAGAGGCUCUACAAAAUGUUCAUCAUCUGGUUCA